This 253-nucleotide ribosomal RNA is filed under the name uncultured bacterium. Its description in RNAcentral is "partial 16S ribosomal RNA". It matches the Rfam family "Bacterial small subunit ribosomal RNA", at positions 524 to 776 of the family's 1533-position model. The record is from RNAcentral.
UACGAGGGGGGCGAGCGUUGUUCGGAAUUAUUGGGCGUAAAGGGUGCGUAGGCGGUUUGGUAAGUCUGAUGUGAAAUCUAUGGGCUCAACUCAUAGUCUGCAUCGGAAACUGCCGGGCUUGAGUGUGGGAGAGGUGAGUGGAAUUCCUGGUGUAGCGGUGAAAUGCGUAGAUAUCAGGAGGAACACCUGUGGCGAAAGCGGCUCACUGGACCAUAACUGACGCUGAUGCACGAAAGCCAGGGGAGCAAACAGG